UCAGUACUGUUAUAAUAUAUGAAUGUAAAAAGGUUAACGGAAAGACAGUGCACAAUAAUUGUAUAUAAAAGGUUAAAUACUACGUAGCGUUAAUACCGAAGCCUCAGUAGUAACAGAGCAGUGUACUACAUCACUCAUACAUCGAACAAUUGAUUGUGAAUUUAUUCGAAAUAGUGCAAGACGGAUGCAAUAUCUGUGCAUAUAUAUGGUGUAUAGUGAUAGUGUUUAGUGUGUGAAGGAUUUUCCUGAAGGUUGUGUAACAGUUUGCUUACUUGUAAAAAGUAAAAAAAGCGCGCUAUGUUGGUAUUCAAGGAACUCAAUUCAACACAUACGUGACGCUCAAGUUGCAGAAUGUCAAGUCGACGACGGUGACAGUCAAGGGUCCGA
Pieris napi is the source of this 387-nucleotide long non-coding RNA. RefSeq lists it as uncharacterized. The record is from RefSeq and is a predicted model, not a curated record. The transcript is spliced from 3 exons. Lineage: Eukaryota; Metazoa; Arthropoda; Insecta; Lepidoptera; Pieridae.